UACGGGGGGGGCAAGCGUUGUUCGGAAUUACUGGGCGUAAAGGGUUCGUAGGUGGCUUGCUAAGUCAGACGUGAAAUCCCUCAGCUUAACUGGGGAACUGCGUCUGAUACUGGCGAGCUUGAGUGCAGGAGAGGAACGCAGAAUUCCAGGUGUAGCGGUGAAAUGCGUAGAUAUCGAGAGGAACACCUGCGGCGAAGGCGGGUAGCUGGGCCGACACUGACGCUGAUGCGCGAAAGCCAGGGGAGCGAACGGG
This 253-nucleotide ribosomal RNA is filed under the name uncultured bacterium. RNAcentral's name for it is "partial 16S ribosomal RNA". It matches the Rfam family "Bacterial small subunit ribosomal RNA", at positions 524 to 776 of the family's 1533-position model. The record is from RNAcentral.